RNAcentral lists this long non-coding RNA (297 nucleotides) under Amborella trichopoda. Its description in RNAcentral is "long non-coding RNA (ATRI_LNC003061)". The record is from RNAcentral. Lineage: Eukaryota; Viridiplantae; Streptophyta; Magnoliopsida; Amborellales; Amborellaceae.
UUUAUACAGUUAUUAACGUAUACGAACACUGAUAUAUAUAUAUAUAUACUAUACACACACUCACAUUGAUAUAUAUACUACACACACGGUCACACUCACACUCACACUCACACAAACUCUCACACUGACACAUUCACUCACUCACUCACACACACAUACACACUCACACUCACGUUCACACUCGCACUCACGUUCACACUCGCACACUCACACUUACACUCACAUUCACACUAACGCUCAGUUAUAUAUAUUAUACAUAUGUGCAUGUUGUGUAUAGAUUGAUGUGUCUAUAUAUAC